ACGUAGGUCACAAGCGUUGUCCGGAAUUACUGGGUGUAAAGGGAGCGCAGGCGGGAGAACAAGUUGGAAGUGAAAUCCAUGGGCUUAACCCAUGAACUGCUUUCAAAACUGUUUUUCUUGAGUAGUGCAGAGGUAGGCGGAAUUCCCGGUGUAGCGGUGGAAUGCGUAGAUAUCGGGAGGAACACCAGUGGCGAAGGCGGCCUACUGGGCACCAACUGACGCUGAGGCUCGAAAGUGUGGGUAGCAAACAG
This 251-nucleotide ribosomal RNA is filed under the name uncultured bacterium. Its description in RNAcentral is "partial 16S ribosomal RNA". It matches the Rfam family "Bacterial small subunit ribosomal RNA", at positions 525 to 775 of the family's 1533-position model. The record is from RNAcentral.